RNAcentral lists this transfer RNA (129 nucleotides) under Colletotrichum orbiculare MAFF 240422. RNAcentral describes it as "tRNA-Leu for anticodon CAA". It matches the Rfam family "tRNA". From Rfam's summary of the family: Transfer RNA (tRNA) molecules are approximately 80 nucleotides in length. Their secondary structure includes four short double-helical elements and three loops (D, anti-codon, and T loops). Lineage: Eukaryota; Fungi; Ascomycota; Sordariomycetes; Glomerellales; Glomerellaceae. The record is from Rfam by way of RNAcentral.
GGCAACUUGGCCGAGCGGUCUAAGGCGCCAGACUCAAGAUACGGGGUUCCACCUUCAACUCUUCCCCAUUCAAUUGGGUGCUUCCUUCUGGUCGCGAAAGAGGCGUGAGUUCGAAUCUCACAGUUGUCA